CCCGGCUUAGCUCAGUCUGGCUAGAGCGGCGGACUGUAGUUGGGAUAUGCCCGGGGCGGGCAUAAACGCCGCUCAGCAGAGAUCCGCAGGUCCCCGGUUCGAAUCCGGGAGCCGGGA
This is a transfer RNA of Aciduliprofundum boonei T469, 117 nucleotides long. It matches the Rfam family "tRNA". From Rfam's summary of the family: Transfer RNA (tRNA) molecules are approximately 80 nucleotides in length. Their secondary structure includes four short double-helical elements and three loops (D, anti-codon, and T loops). NCBI's taxonomy places the organism in Archaea, Methanobacteriati, Thermoplasmatota. The record is from Rfam.